Molecule: ribosomal RNA, 472 nt
Filed under: uncultured bacterium
Lineage: Bacteria
Description: partial 16S ribosomal RNA
Rfam family: Bacterial small subunit ribosomal RNA
Source: RNAcentral
GACGAACGCUGGCGGCGUGCUUAACACAUGCAAGUCGAACGGGAGUAUCAAAGAAGCUUGCUUUUAAGAUACUUUAGUGGCGGACGGGUGAGUAACGCGUGAGGAGCUGUCCUAUGCAGGGGGACAACAGUUGGAAACGACUGCUAAUACCCCAUAAGCCGAGAGGUAAAAGGAUUUAUCCGGCAAUGGAGGUACUCGCGUCCUAUCAGCUAGUAGGUGAGGUAACGGCUCACCUAGGCGAAGACGGGUAGCCGGCCUGAGAGGGCGAACGGCCACACUGGAACUGAGAUACGGUCCAGACUCCUACGGGAGGCAGCAGUGGGGAAUAUUGGGCAAUGGGGGGAACCCUGACCCAGCGACGCCGCGUGGGUGAAGAAAUCCUUCGGGAUGUAAAGCCCUGUUGUAUGGGAAGAGCGGAAGACGGUACCAUACGAGGAAGCCCCGGCAAACUACGUGCCAGCCGCCGCCGUAA